This 76-nucleotide non-coding RNA is filed under the name Lachnospiraceae bacterium. Its description in RNAcentral is "c-di-GMP sequence". It matches the Rfam family "c-di-GMP-I riboswitch aptamer". Rfam says of the family: GEMM was predicted in a large-scale screen for bacterial structured RNA regulatory elements. Genes associated with GEMM are involved in a diverse array of functions, including chemotaxis regulation, signal transduction, secretion and chitin. Lineage: Bacteria; Bacillati; Bacillota; Clostridia; Lachnospirales; Lachnospiraceae. The record is from Rfam by way of RNAcentral.
CUGAAUAUUCAGCAAACCUGUUGAAAAGCAGGGACGCAAAGCUAAAGGGGCCCGAAAGAGCCAGCCAGCUGCCGGA